Molecule: long non-coding RNA, 91 nt
Organism: Thalassophryne amazonica
Lineage: Eukaryota; Metazoa; Chordata; Actinopteri; Batrachoidiformes; Batrachoididae
Exons: 3
Source: RefSeq, a predicted model, not a curated record
GGCCCUUGGGCAAACUCCUUAAACUCCAACUUGCUCCCAGUGUGCAGUUGAGCGCCUUGUAUGGCAGCACCCUGACAUCGGGGUGAAUGUG